GUAAAUCUGGCAACAAAUGGGAGAUCUAAUUAUGAAUUUGAUCACAUGAUUAUAUAGCUAUGACGUUAAGGAACCUGUAUGACUUUACAAAAUCGAAUUCGGGCUAGUAGAACCCCCGAAACUGAUCUUAGCAUGACCGAGUACUUUCUGAGUGUCAUGAGAAGAAGGUGUGUUGUGAAAUGGGGGUAACUCUUAAAUUUUCUCACUGUUUCCGUGCAAGCCACUAAGGCGGGAUUUUCCCGCCAAGAUGGGGCCGCUGUAACGGUGUGAGGACCGCUGUGGCGGGACAGACACGACUUAAGUCGGAAAUAAACCCCAAAAAUAUUUUAUUCUGCAAUUUUCGACCUUGAGAGCUAAGGAACGACCCAAGGGUAUUUCUCGAAGGUUU
This 388-nucleotide long non-coding RNA is filed under the name Solanum tuberosum (potato). Its description in RNAcentral is "long non-coding RNA (STUB_LNC006182)". Lineage: Eukaryota; Viridiplantae; Streptophyta; Magnoliopsida; Solanales; Solanaceae. The record is from RNAcentral.